CUGUAAAUGGCAGAAGGAUAUAAAUGCCAUCCCGGAGGACAACCUGGUGUGAAUUGAGAAGUGUGAUCCUUGGAGACGAAGGAGGCUGCCCUGUGUGUCUCUUUCUGGUUUCUUUGACCCACAAGCUCUCCUAGUCACUGGGAUGACUUCUGGCCUCCCUUUCUCUCUUGGGAUGUAGGCUAUAGUGUGUUCUUGGUCAAUAACCAUCACUGAGAGAAUGUUUCCCCCCCAAAACAUGUUUUCUUUCCGUUAUCUCUGCAACAUAAUACAGAUGGAGCUUCAGCCUCAGCAGUCUCCAGCCUACUGCCUUCCCUUCAUCCAGUAUGCAACAAAGGCUUGUCAAGCUCCCCUGCUCCAGGGCCUCUGCUAGGUUAAAUGGUGAAGGUCCAGCAGCAGUUCAGAGACAGGUACCCGAGAUACACACGAGUGAAAAAUCAAAUACCGAGUCAAGGGUAGAGAGAAUUGAUAGCUCACAGGGGAAGUAAGAGCAAACCAAAGUGUUUUCAAGACUGGGAAAACUGGAGCAUUUCUUUCGAUAAGGUGGAUGGAGCCCCAAAAGAGGAAGAAAUGAAAGAUUCUGGGUGGGUGAGUAGCAGCAGGCUGGGUUUAAACUGCUUCCAAGAGGCCAGGCUCUGAUGAAGUGUCAGUUUUUCACUUGUGACCCUAAGCAGGGAGUACUGUUCAGAUAUGGAAAGAUCUACCAUCCCUUUCAUAGCAGACUUGCACAGCCAAGGAGGACUUUGAGCUGGGAUCUUGGUGUGAAAUGAAUUAUUCUGCUCCAGAAGACAGCAUCUUAAAUGCACCUGAGCCUGAAUCCUGGAUUUUGCUUCCUUUGUGUUCCUGCCAUUUGCUGUGAUAAAUACCUUUUCUCUCAACAGAAGGAAUAUACGGAUGUGGGCACAGCCAUCUCCCAAAUAACUAGGCUCCUCCAUCUGACUCAGUAGCCAUCCUUCUUCCCAGGACAUCUGCCUCGCAGAACCACCCUCCUGGGGAAUGAGCCAGUGUUUACCCGUGUGUGAUUCUUAAGCAUUUCCUGAGCAUCUGCUGAGCCCUCCACUCUGCAGGAGGUCUCUCUGCAACAUGCAAGUAAUUUCCUUCAAUAAACAUUCAUCAUAUGCUUUCCGUGUUGCAGAGAAUAAGGCUGUACCCAGAGGCAAGGCCUUGCCCUCUUCAAGCUUACCUUCCAGGGGCAUGUGAAACUAGGGAAAGAGAUGGAAAUAUGUAAUUAUGACAAGAAUAAGUUUCUUGUCCUUAAGGAGUUAUUGUUGAAUAGGGAAAAU
Bos taurus (domestic cattle) is the source of this 1280-nucleotide long non-coding RNA. Lineage: Eukaryota; Metazoa; Chordata; Mammalia; Artiodactyla; Bovidae. The record is from Ensembl.